AGAGGAACUUGUCUUUUAUCUCCAGCACCUUCCCCAGGACCUCGGAGGACACAGCCAGCUCCUGCACCAUCACACCACCCCGAUGCGCGGCAGGAAGCUGUUCCCCACACUGAGUAGGUGGCACAAGGAGACCUUUUCAUCACAUCUUCUGCCCCGAGACCUCUGUGGGCUCGUGGCACAGAAAGCAGAAGCUGCACACCUAGAAACCCCAGAAGGUGGCUCAGUUCUCUCGGCUCCAGCAGAAGGAACACCAUCAGGGAAAGCUGGCAAUCUGGCUGGGACUGAUUUUUAGGGACUCCCUUUGCUCCUGGGCUGCCCCAGCACCGGGGCUGCUCCCUCCCCACACCCAAGGACGGGGCCAGCUGGAGCCUGUGCAGGGGAGGGGGGAGCCUGAACGUGCGCACCCAUCGUCCCUAAUAAUGGAAAAAAUCUGCAACUGCAGCCAGUAAUGACUCUCACUGCCGUGCAACUGCACACGGUGGGAGAGGCUCCAGCAGACCCUCCUGAAAUCUUUUUUGCAUGACGAAAACUCCAGGAGAGAGGAGCCCUUCUGCGAGAGACGGGGAGGGCUCUGCCACGUGCAGCCAGACCAAAGCAGGACCACGG
RNAcentral lists this long non-coding RNA (606 nucleotides) under Calidris pugnax (ruff). Its description in RNAcentral is "lncRNA (ENSCPUG00000019011.1)". Lineage: Eukaryota; Metazoa; Chordata; Aves; Charadriiformes; Scolopacidae. The record is from RNAcentral.